CUUAGGGGUUAUUGCGGCGGGCUCACUCUUCCCAUCCCGAACAGAGAAGUUAAGCCCGCCUGCGCAGAUGGUAC
Molecule: ribosomal RNA, 74 nt
Filed under: Flavobacterium sp.
Lineage: Bacteria; Pseudomonadati; Bacteroidota; Flavobacteriia; Flavobacteriales; Flavobacteriaceae
Source: RNAcentral